GACGAACGCUGGCGGCGUGCCUAAUACAUGCAAGUUGAGCGCUGAAGGUUGGUACUUGUACCAACUGGAUGAGCAGCGAACGGGUGAGUAACGCGUGGGGAAUCUGCCUUUGAGCGGGGGACAACAUUUGGAAACGAAUGCUAAUACCGCAUAAAAACUUUAAACACAAGUUUUAAGUUUGAAAGAUGCAAUUGCAUCACCCAAAGAUGAUCCCGCGUUGUAUUAGCUAGUUGGUGAGGUAAAGGCUCACCAAGGCGAUGAUACAUAGCCGACCUGAGAGGGUGAUCGGCCACAUUGGGACUGAGACACGGCCCAAACUCCUACGGGAGGCAGCAGUAGGGAAUCUUCGUCAAUGGACGAAAGUCUGACCGAGCAACGCCGCGUGAGUGAAGAAGGUUUUCGGAUCGUAAAACUCUGUUGGUAGAGAAGAACGUUGGUGAGAGUGGAAAGCUCAUCAAGUGACGGUAACUACCCAGAAAGGGACGGCUAACUACGUG
Molecule: ribosomal RNA, 497 nt
Filed under: uncultured bacterium
Lineage: Bacteria
Description: partial 16S ribosomal RNA
Rfam family: Bacterial small subunit ribosomal RNA
Source: RNAcentral